CCCGCUGUAGCUCAGUUGGUAGAGCAUGGCGCUUGCUACGCCAGGGUUGUGGGUUCGAUUCCAACAGGGGGC
Molecule: non-coding RNA, 72 nt
Organism: Salmo salar (Atlantic salmon)
Lineage: Eukaryota; Metazoa; Chordata; Actinopteri; Salmoniformes; Salmonidae
Source: Rfam